GCGAUCAUACCAGCCUUAAUGCAUCGGAUCAUAUCAGAACUCCGAAGUUAAGCGUGCUUGGCCGAGAGUAGAACUAGGAUGGGUGACCCCUGGGAAGUCCUCGUGUUGCACCCC
This 114-nucleotide ribosomal RNA is filed under the name Salvia splendens (bonfire salvia). The record is from RNAcentral. Lineage: Eukaryota; Viridiplantae; Streptophyta; Magnoliopsida; Lamiales; Lamiaceae.